AGAGGGUGCAAGCGUUAAUCGGAAUAACUGGGCGUAAAGGGCAUGUAGGCGGUUUAGACAGUCGGGUGUGAAAGCUCUGGGCUUAACCUGGAGAUGUCAUUCGAUACGUCUAGACUAGAGUGCAGUAGAGGGUAGUGGAAUUUCCGGUGUAGCGGUGAAAUGCGUAGAUAUCGGAAGGAACACCAGUGGCGAAGGCGACUACCUGGACUGCUACUGACGCUCAGGUGCGAAAGCGUGGGGGGAGCGAACAGGAUUAGAUACCCUGGUAGUCCACGCCGUAAACGAUGAGAACUAGCCGUUCGACGACCUUGAGUUGUUGGGUGGCGCAGCUAACGCGCUAAGUUCUCCGCCUGGGAGUACGGCCGCAAGGUUA
This 373-nucleotide ribosomal RNA is filed under the name uncultured organism. RNAcentral's name for it is "partial 16S ribosomal RNA". It matches the Rfam family "Bacterial small subunit ribosomal RNA", at positions 527 to 896 of the family's 1533-position model. The record is from RNAcentral.